UCCCUGCUGGCUCAGUUGGUGAAGAGUCUGCCUGCGACGCAGAAGACCCGGGUUCGAUCCCUGGGUUGGGAA
Molecule: non-coding RNA, 72 nt
Organism: Dama dama (fallow deer)
Lineage: Eukaryota; Metazoa; Chordata; Mammalia; Artiodactyla; Cervidae
Source: the annotation of a RefSeq genome assembly